CGGUUGGACACGUGCAAGGGGGUCCGCGAACCCCGCCAGGUCCGAGAGGAAGCAACGGUAGCGAUCACUUCCUGUGCCACGUUCUCCGACCGCCG
RNAcentral lists this signal recognition particle RNA (95 nucleotides) under Bdellovibrionales bacterium. Its description in RNAcentral is "signal recognition particle sRNA small type". It matches the Rfam family "Bacterial small signal recognition particle RNA". Rfam says of the family: The signal recognition particle (SRP) is a universally conserved ribonucleoprotein involved in the co-translational targeting of proteins to membranes. The record is from RNAcentral. Lineage: Bacteria; Pseudomonadati; Bdellovibrionota; Bdellovibrionia; Bdellovibrionales.